Molecule: RNase P RNA, 326 nt
Filed under: Chloroflexota bacterium
Lineage: Bacteria; Bacillati; Chloroflexota
Description: Chloroflexi bacterium RNase P RNA component class A
Rfam family: Bacterial RNase P class A
About the family: Ribonuclease P (RNase P) is a ubiquitous endoribonuclease, found in archaea, bacteria and eukarya as well as chloroplasts and mitochondria. Its best characterised activity is the generation of mature 5'-ends of tRNAs by cleaving the 5'-leader elements of precursor-tRNAs.
Source: RNAcentral
UGAGUAGACUAGACAGCCGCGCAGAGUCCACACUUCACGUUGUGGACAGAGUGAGGAAAGUCCCCACUCCAGAGAGCAGGGUAGCGGGUAACACCCGUCCGCCGUGAGGCGAGGAAUAGGGCCACAGAGACUACGGCCGGUUGCCAUCGUUACAUGCGAUUGCGACCGGAGUGAAAAGGGUAACCUCUACCUGGAGCAAGGCCAAGAGAGGGACGUUGAGGCGGCUCGCGGAGUCCCGGGUAGGCCGCAAAGAGGCGCGGCGCAAGCUGCGGCCCAAGAUAGAUGGCUGUCCGCGACAGAAUGGGGCUUAUCGGUCUACUCAACAC